UACGUAGGGUGCGAGCGUUGUCCGGAUUUAUUGGGCGUAAAGAGCUCGUAGGCGGUUUGUCGCGUCGGCCGUGAAAACUUGGGGCUUAACCCCAAGCUUGCGGUCGAUACGGGCAGACUUGAGUUCGGCAGGGGAGACUGGAAUUCCUGGUGUAGCGGUGAAAUGCGCAGAUAUCAGGAGGAACACCGGUGGCGAAGGCGGCUCUCUGGGACGGUACUGACGCUGAGACGCGAAAGCGUGGGGAGCGAACAGG
This 253-nucleotide ribosomal RNA is filed under the name uncultured bacterium. RNAcentral's name for it is "partial 16S ribosomal RNA". It matches the Rfam family "Bacterial small subunit ribosomal RNA", at positions 524 to 776 of the family's 1533-position model. The record is from RNAcentral.